Molecule: ribosomal RNA, 115 nt
Filed under: Carlito syrichta (Philippine tarsier)
Lineage: Eukaryota; Metazoa; Chordata; Mammalia; Primates; Tarsiidae
Source: RNAcentral
GUCUAUGGCCAUACCACCCUGGACGCAUCCCAUCUCAUGUGAUCCCAGAAGCUAAGCAGGGUCAGAACUGAUUAGUGCUUGUAUGGGAGAAAAGUGAGAACUCGAACUAUAGUUA